RNAcentral lists this long non-coding RNA (15358 nucleotides) under Triticum aestivum (bread wheat). RNAcentral describes it as "long non-coding RNA (TAES_LNC014708)". Lineage: Eukaryota; Viridiplantae; Streptophyta; Magnoliopsida; Poales; Poaceae. The record is from RNAcentral.
UCCUAAAGGUGUCGGAAAAAUCAUAGGUAAUUGUGGUGGCGAAACCAAACUCUGAAGAAGUGUUUAAAGGCUCUAAAAUAAUUAUGACAGUAUCAAAAACAAUUAAUUACAUGCCUUUUUCAAUUAAAAAAAUACUAACCUAUUUUAUUGGGGUCCAUAGUUAAUGUGGCAGUAGUAUAUUUAGAUACACUAAAUUAGAAACUACUUUUAUCUUUUUAGAUUCGAAAAUAGAUUAAAGGCUAAAAGAAAACAUGAUAGGAGAAAUAAAUAGGCAGAAAAGAAAAUAAAAAAAAGGAAAGGAUAAAAAAAGAGAACACCCCCCCCUUGCUGGGCCAUGGCCCAGAUGGCCUCGGUGCCAACCAGGCCGGCCCAGCCGGCGCCUACAUCACCCAUGGGGCGACCGAACCCUAAACUCCCUCCCCAGUCGCCCCACUCCCCACUCCCCUCGCCCCCACACACCCCCACUCCCCGCUGGAUCUGGAUCGAGGCAAGCGUGCCCNNNNNNNNNNNNNNNNNNNNNNNNNNNNNNNNNNNNNNNNNNNNNNNNNNNNNNNNNNNNNNNNNNNNNNNNNNNNNNNNNNNNNNNNNNNNNNNNNNNNNNNNNNNNNNNNNNNNNNNNNNNNNNNNNNNNNNNNNNNNNNNNNNNNNNNNNNNNNNNNNNNNNNNNNNNNNNNNNNNNNNNNNNNNNNNNNNNNNNNNNNNNNNNNNNNNNNNNNNNNNNNNNNNNNNNNNNNNNNNNNNNNNNNNNNNNNNNNNNNNNNNNNNNNNNNNNNNNNNNNNNNNNNNNNNNNNNNNNNNNNNNNNNNNNNNNNNNNNNNNNNNNNNNNNNNNNNNNNNNNNNNNNNNNNNNNNNNNNNNNNNNNNNNNNNNNNNNNNNNNNNNNNNNNNNNNNNNNNNNNNNNNNNNNNNNNNNNNNNNNNNNNNNNNNNNNNNNNNNNNNNNNNNNNNNNNNNNNNNNNNNNNNNNNNNNNNNNNNNNNNNNCCCCGCGGCAACUCCGCCUGCACCUGCCGCCGAGCCCGCUACCGUUGCUGCUGCUCCAUCGCUGCCCCGCGCGCCCACGGCUCCGUGCCUUCCCUCGCACUUGCCGGCGGUUUCCGCUCCCCGCGCCCCACUCCGGUGCCGCUCGACGCUCCUCCCGUCCCUCCCGCGCCAGCCACUGGCGGCCGGCCUCGCCGCGGCCGCGGCCCCCCUCGUUGGUCGCCGCCCGGGUCCGCCCCUCGCCUGCUUUUGCGGCUUCACGCCGGCGUGCCGGCACCCGCGCCCAAUCGGGUGCACCCGCGAGGGCCAUCGCCCGUUCGGGCUGUGCCCGUAACCCGCACGCCCGCAAAGGCCCCUGGGGUCAAUGACAGGAGGGCCCCGCCUCCAAAACAUUUAAAAAAAAGGGAUAUAAAAAAAGAAUUUAAAAUAAUAAUAAUAAUAAUAAUUAAUUGGUUACUUAAUUAAAUAACUAAUUAGGACAAAUAAUUAACCUAAUUAACCUAUGUUAGUUAAUCUAAUUAACUAAUUAAUGUAGUUAAUUAGGUAGUUAGUUAGUAUGUCAAUGACAGUGGGACCCACAUGUUAGUUUGACUAGGUCAACUGACUAGCUGACUGAUGACAUCACCCUAACAUCAUGCUGAUGUUAUAAUUGCAUUUUCUAACUAAAUUAAUUCUGUUAAUUCUAAAAAUGAUUUAAAUCUUUUAAAAUUAAUAGAAAAUAAACCGUAGCUCAGAUGGAAAAACUUUGUACAUGAAAGUUGCUCAGAACGACGAGACGAACCCGGAUAGCCAGCCCGUUCGUCCGCCACACACCCUUAACAUAUCCAACUCGCAACUUUCCCCCUCCGGCUCCUCUGCCCGAAAACGUGAAACACCGGGGAUACUUUCCCGGAUGUUUCCCCCCUUCACCGGUAUCACCUCAUACCGCGUUAGGGCACCCCUAGCACCAUUACUGGUCUUGUCAUGCAUCGUUAUGCAUCUGUUUGCAUUGUAUUCAUUGUUUCUUCCCCCCUCUUCUUCCGCUAGACACCGAGACCGACGCCGCUGCUGCCCAGUACGCCUACUCUUCUCUAUACUGCUUGCAUUAGAGUAGUGUAGCAUGUUACUGCUUUCCGUUAUUCCUAUCCUGAUGCAUAGCCUGUCCUUGCUACUACUGUUGUUACCAUUACCUGCUAUCCUACUGCUUAGUAUAGGAUGCUAGUUUAUCAUCAGUGGCCCUACAUUCUUGUCCGUCUGCCAUGCUAUACUAUCGGGCUGUGAUCACUCGGGAGGUGAUCACGGGUAUAUACUAAAUACUUUACUCAUUUACAUUACUUAUGAUACUGUUCGGAGAUGGGGGCUAAGGGGAGGUGGCUCCAUCCCGGUAGAGGUGGGCCUGGGUUCCUGACGGCCCCCGACUGUUACUUUGAGGCGAAGCGACAGGGCAGGUUGAGACCACCUAGGAGAGAGGUGGGCCUGGCCCUAGUCGGCGUUCGCGGAUACAUAACACGCUUAACGAGAUCUUGGUAUUUGAUCUGAGUCUGGCCAUUGGCUUAUACGCACUAACCAUCUACGCGGGGACAGUUAUGGGCACUCGACGUCGUGGUAUCAGCCGAAACCUUCGUGACGUCAGCGACUGAGCGGCGCGCGCCAGAUUGGACCGUAAGCCUGCUCUUGUAUUAAGGGGGCUAGUUCUGCUUCCGGCCGCGUUCGCAACGUGCAGGUGUGCAAAGGGCGAUGGGCCCAGACCCCUGCGCCAUAGGAUUUAGACCGGCGUGCUGACCUCUCUGUUAUGCCUAGGUAGGGCUGUGACGUGUUGAUCUCCCGAGGCCGGGCAUGACCCAGGAAAGUGUGUCCGGCCAAAUGUGAUCGAGCGUGUUGGGUUAUGUGGUGCACCCCUGCAGGGAAGUUAAUCUAUUCGAAUAGCCGUGAUCUUCGGUAACAGGACGACUUGGAGUUGUACCUUGACCUUAUGACAACUAGAACCGGAUACUUAAUAAAACACACCCUUCCAAGUGCCAGAUACAACCGGUGAUCGCUCUCUCACAGGGCGACGAGGGGAGGAUCAUCGGUUAGGAUUAUGCUAUACGAUGCUACUUGGAGGUCUUCAGUCUACUCUCUUCUACAUGCUGCAAGACGGAGGCUGCCAGAAGCGUAAACUUCGACAGGAUUAGUUAUCCCCCUCUUAUUCUGGCAUUCUACAGUUCAGUCCACUGAUAUGGCCCUUUACACAUAUACCCAUGCAUAUGUAGUGUAGCUCCUUGCUUGCGAGUACUUUGGAUGAGUACUCAUGGUUGCUUUCUCCCUCUUUUCCCCUAUCCCUUCUACCUGGUUGUGUCAACCAGAUGUUGAAGCCUAGGAGCCAGACGCCACCUUCGACGACGACUCCUACUACACCGGAGGUGCCUACUACUACGUGCUACCCGCUGACGACGACCAUGAGUAGUUUAGGAGGAUCCCAGGCAGGAGGCCUGCGCCUCUUUCGAUCUGUAUCCCAGUUUGUGCUAGCCUUCUUAAGGCAAACUUGUUUAACUUAUGUCUGUACUCAGAUAUUGUUGCUUUCGCUGACUCGUCUAUGAUCGAGCUCUUGUAUUCGAGCCCUCGAGGCCCCUGGCUUGUAAUAUGAUGCUUGUAUGACUUAUUUUAUUUGUAGAGUUGUGUUGUGAUAUCUACCCGUGAGUCCUUGAUCUUGAUCGUACACAUUUGCGUGCAUGAUUAGUGUAUGGUCAAAUCGGGGGCGUCACAAGUUGGUAUCAGAGCCGACUGCCUGUAGGAAUCCCCUUUCCAACUCCUUGGCCGAAUUUGAGUCUAGUCAUUGCAAAACCUUUACUAACAUGGCUGUGUGGCCUAUGGGCCCACGUCGCCAUUGGGUGGUAUUAGGAUCUCUUAUUUCUCGUCUAUGCUCUGGUACUCUGAACUCUCUCCUAUUCGGGUUUAAUGAAUUUACUAAAAAUCUAACUUAGGUUCUCGAAAAUAUUUUCUCCCGGAGAACCCCCUUCAAUCCAGGUGAUCGCCGGCUGCACUAGAAGAUUUCGAAGAUACUCUCCGAUAUUCUGUCGAGACCUUGUGCCUGUUGCUUUUGCAAUUCCCUUCUAUCGAUAAACCUCUAUGGAUAACCACGUACAUGUGCCAUUCAUAUAAUCAUUCCUCAUUGAUCUUGUUAUUACAAGAUGCCCCAAAAUUCUCACUAUUGUUCCGAGAAUACUUUGUGCCUACUGCCUUGCAUUUAUUUGCCACAUGAAUACCACUAUGGGUAAUUUCUAGCACUCAUCGGAUAUUUUCUCAUCACCAGUUGGUUCAUGUAUUUCACAAAAGUCUUCAAAAUACUAUUUGAACUUCCGAAAAUCUUGAGUAGCCUAUUAUCUCUUGAAGUUCUUACUUGCUUGCGUUAUGGUUAAUCCCAUAAGUCUAUAAUUUUAUUGGCAUCCCUUAUCAUUAUCAUUUUGAGUCUGUUGAUUCAAAAUGUUGUGAAUGCUCGCCAUCCUCAAUCAGAUCCAAUGAUUCAUCCUUCCGGCUCGCACGUCAUUUUGAACAUGAGCUGGUUAUCGACCAAUCAAAUUGUCGUUGAUUGUACCCCUAAGUCUAUUCAACUGAUCCAUUCUUAAUGAGAGCGUUGGCUUUUGAUCCCUUGAUUUGGAAAUGAUAAUUCCUUUGUAUUUAAGAUUUGAAAUACUCAGUUGUUUAUAUAAUCUGAUGCCCUUUCAUUCCAUCUUCCUCAGAUAGAGUACCGAUACUCGCAUCAGCUCCAUUGUAGACCAUAGGACCCCUUGUUGGAUUAUUAUCCGGCAGUGUCCUUCCUAUUCAAUAACCUUGUGAGCCUUUCCAUGGGUAUAUGAUACCUUUGGUAAAUUGUAUCAUCUGUUUUGCUAACCAUGCUCUACUUUCGAGCUUGUGAUAUUUACUCUUGAAACUUGUUGUAUAUGUUUCUAUGAAACCCCGAUGGCUUGAACCUAUACAACCUUCUCUAAAACCGUGUGAACUCGAAAGUUUUCACGAGUCAUACACUUCUGGUAUUUUGCUAGAUGAAAUUUCAACAAUACAACUUCUUCAAAAGUGAGAAGUGAAUGAAAGGUUAUGCAUUGGAGAAGUGGGAGUCGACCUUGAACUUUGUGUUCAUGCCCAUGGACACGAUGUAGAUCCUAUCAUAGAAGUUUCUUGCAAUAUUAACUAUUUCCUUGAUAUGACAUCAUCUGGUAUCUAUGUAUUGGUCAUUUGCAAUCAUGAUCCUGACCACAUUUUCUCCUUGAUUCCAUUUCUCAGACAAGUUAAAGCACUUGUCUUUUGUUGAUCGAUACAUCUUUGCAACCUCUAUUUUUGAUCUUCCUCGAGUAUUAACCUCUGGUAUCUCGAGUAUUGUGUUACUUCCUACGAGUCUUCAUCUAGUAUUGUUUCUCACCGAUCUCGGAUCUCCCCAGGUUCUGAGUUAUUAGUCACUCGAGAACACCGAUAAGUGAAUCGAUUCCGCACUCUGAUUCAAUAACUCUAAGUAAUUAUUGUUGCUUACGAGUUUAAUAAUCCUUCAAGUCAUUCCUAGCCUGAGCGGCUAUAUCAUUAUCGUGCUAAAUUUUAACUGUGCUACCUGGUCCUUAAUCCCGGAGCAAAACUUUCGAUGAUGAGCUAAGCUUACGUCGAUCUUCCUCGUCAUAUCAGUUCACCUUGAACAACAAGCUUGAUUUAAAGUUUGUGUCCUACCCAUGGUUCCAAUGACCUUCCGCUUCAUCAUUUCUUUGACUCGAUGUCGUUGCUGAUUGUUUACAUCUUGAAAUCUCUCGAAAAAUGUGUCGUGAACAUCAUCAACCUUAUGAGGUCUUCCAAGAUAUCUAUCGAAUUCUUGAUGAGAAAUAGCGGCAGAAAUCACAGAUUUGACCUGAGGCGGAAAUCAAAUCACAAACUGACCUGUUCAGGAAACAAUUUCACUCUGCUGUCCCUUUGGUGUGGCGCCCGACAUCUAGGCGCCGCACCCUACUGUGCAGCGCCUUCCCCUUAGGCGUCGCACAUCCUGCCAGUGUGGCAGCCCUGGUCCAGUUGCGGCCCCACACGCACCUGUGCAGCGCCUAAGAGCUAGGCGCCACACUUUGACGUGCAGCGCCUAGCCCUUGGGCGCUGCACAGUGACUUAAGCGCGGCCGCCCAGCCCGACCAGGCAGUUCUUCAUCUCUCCUCUCUCUGUACAGAGAGCAGCGGCGGCGGCGGCGCCCCCAUCUAAUCCCCCCACAUCCCUCUCAGAUCUGAAGAUUUGAUCCGUGGAUUCGAUCCCCAAUCCAUCCUACUAGGUAAACUCUUCCCUUCUCUUUCUUUUGCUCCGUAAAUUUGUUGCCAUUCUAGAGAUUUGUCCAUGAUUUGAUGGAACCCUUGAUUUGUUUGGUUUGCUCGAUUUAGGAUGUGUAUUCAUAUUGGUAGUACUGUAGUGUUAUUUAUUAGUUCACAAUAUAUGAUUCUUAUUGUUGAAACCCUAGAUUGUUUAGUUUUUUUAGAUAUAUAUGAGAUGCCUAUUUUUGUUUAGUUUAUUUGAGAUGAAGAUGAACUUUUAUAUGUUUAUUGUUUGAAAUUGUAAGGAUGGUUUGGCUUCUGGACGAUGUCUACGACGUGCAACACCGGGCCUACAUGAUGCGCGAGAAGGAUAAGGUAAUAAUGAGUAAUCUAAAUAUUUUGCAAAUUUGCCUUUAGUUGAAAUUUACAUGCCCUAAGAUUUGUCAUUACUUGUUUUUUGCAGAAGCUUGAACCUCUGAAGAUUCGGUAUCACGGGGUCUCUGGUCCUGCCAUGCCUUACGAUGAGCGGUACACACCGUACAUCAAGCAGGCAGGACUACUCCCGUGGAUUCUGUUGGUCAGCCGGUCCACGCCGAAUCUGAAUGCUCCACUGGUGUCCGCUCUUGUUGAUCGGUGGAGGCCAGAGACCCACAGUUUCCAUCUUCGGACCGAGGAGAUGACCAUGACGCUCGAGGAUGUCUCGUUGAUCACCGGUCUUGCUAUCGACGGGAGGCCUCUAUGUAUGAGCACCAAUUCUGAUGGGUGGCGCGAGCAGAUGAUUGCUCUUAUCGGUAUGGCUCCUACCGAGGCUGAGGAUGAUGUAGAGGAGGGAGAAGAGAAGAAGAAGAGGGAAAGGAAGGCAGCCAGAGCUGCUUUCACGUGGAUUCAAAAUAACUUUGCGACGUGCCCUCCGGAUGCAAUUGAUGAUGUGAUCCAGACACAUGCUCGUGUGUAUAUGUGGUACAUUGUGUCGAGGACUUUGUUUCCUGACUCCACUGGCAAGAACGCUCCAUGGAUGUGGCUGAAGGCGUUGACCGUCUUCGAUAGCAAAUGGAGCUGGGGUUCAGCGACUCUUGCCUACUUGUACCGACAGGUAGUUGGUCUGUUUUGUGAUCAACUCAUUUAUUCAUUAGCAAUGCAAGCUUGCUGUCAAGUUAACAUUGUUUUUCUUUCAUAUGUAGCUGGAUGAUGCGUGUUGCAGGAACACACCUAGUGCAGGCAUUGGUGGUAAUCUGCUUCUACUUUCUGUAUGGAGCUGGGAGCGUCUGCCUGUUGGACGCCCGAAGAGCGUCAGGUUUGAUCCUUGGUAUGCAGAUGAACAUGACGAAUUACAGCGCCCCACGUGGGCUUACAAGUGGAAUACCGUUUCCGAGAUGACGAACGAUGUCAAUCUCAUGUACCAAAAGUACAUUGCCGAGUUGGACACGAUUACGCCUGAGCAGGUAAGGAGGUCAUUACUUUAGUCCUUUCUCAUGCUUGCUUGAAAAAUAGUUAUCAAAUUUGCAUUGUUGCCCUGUUUCAUAGGUGGAAUGGCAGCCAUAUGGCGCGGGUGAGAGUUUGAGGUACACCGCGGACUUCCGCCUCAACCCGAUGUGCUUGCGGGAUAAGGAUCUCUGGCUUAUGCGGUGCCCACUGAUAUGCAACUGGGCGGUUGAGUUUCAUUUGCCGCAUCGCGUGUAUCGUCAGUUUGGUCUUUUCCAGCCUCACCCGCCGGAUUGGGUGGACACGGGUAAAGCACUUCAUAGGUAAGAGAGCAUGUGUGCGUAUUGUCUAAUCAUCGUGACUCCUUUUGAUUGUGCUAAUGUUUAGUUUUAUACCACGCAGGUUGGAUAGGAGAAGGCAACGGAAGAUAAAGGACUGGGCCAAGCAUCAUUCUGCGUAUGUUACCCGCUUCCAGCUUUGUGUGGAGCAAGCUCGUAGCACUGCACGCGCCCCGCUUCGUGAGCACAACUCACUUGAUUUUGAUAACUACGUACGAUGGUUUAUUGGAACUACUCGAGUUGAGAUAUGCCCGCCGGCAUAUAAUGAGGAUAUUCUUGAAGAACCCGUAAACUUUGAGGAUCUAGCAAAGGGGAAGUACAACAGAGAUGUCAGGCUAGGGCAAGGAGUCCCUGCUGUUCCGGUGAUUAACUAUGUGGUAAAGUGUUCCCCUCUUUACUUUCCUGUUGACCAUAUUACACAUGUUUGAAUGGCUAACGCAUUCAUUUUUUCUCAUCCGCAGCGCACCGAGAUCAAGAAAGCAGCUGAUGAGAGCCAGUCUAUUCUGGAGAAGACACCGGUUGGAACUGGCAAUGAUGAUGGUUCACUACGAGCAUUCCUCAAGGUACAUAUCGCAUUCACUAUGAGAGCCAGUCUAUGUUGCGAAGUUUGAUAUCUUACACACUUGUUCGUGUUACAGCGUCAGGCCAAGAAGUUAAGGCGGUUAUCGAACCUUCUCGGUUGCCGUGAUCCUGAAUAUGAUGAACCAUCUGCCUCUAGGUCUGGUACACCAUCAGACCCCGCACCUCACCAUGAGGGGGACGAUGUGAGUUCCUCAUAUGCUUAUAUGGAUGAUGAGGGUGGGAUCACCCAAGAGGUAUGACUAAUCCUUUAGAUGUGAUUCUCACUUGAUUACGAUAUCGGCCUUCACCAUAUUGUUUCGUUGUGUGAUAGGGCAAUGAGCUUGAUGAUGACAUGACUUUGGCGGACGCUCAAGCUCGGUCCGCAUAUGUGUUCAAGCCUAGGCAGCCCAGACGCCGGUACACGCCCAACGACUAUGACAACAGAGGCAACCCAAAGGUGGUCGUAGGGACCUCGCGGAUGGCUAGCUUGGAUGAUGAGGCGGAGGAGGAGGCGGAGGCGGAGGCGGAGGCGGAGGCAGAGGCGGAGCAGGGAGUGCACGAAGAGGAUCCUCGUGCUCCUAAGAAGAAGAAGCUUGCCUGCAGGCGUGCCACCAGGAACACGCGCGGAAGGCAUUAGUGCUUGUUCAUGUUAAUUAUAGCCGUUUAAUUAGGUUGACGAACUUGUGAGGUUAUGUUAUAUGUUGGUGAAAUCUUACUAGUGUGGUAUUUGUGUUUGCGAACCUAAAGUAAUGUUGAAUUGUCUUAAAUGAUAUGAUGUUCAAGUUAUUAGUUUCUGCAGUUUACAGUAUUUUUAUUAUGUUAUAUGUUGGUGAACUCUUACUAGUGCAGUUUACAGUAUUUUUAUUAUGUGAGUGCUGCUGCAGGAGGCCAAAAUGGCAUCUGUUUUUGCAGUUUUGCUUAUAGCAGCACUGCAGCGCCCAACAUAUAGGCGCUGCACUGUACUGUGUGGCGCCCAACAAUUGGGCGUUGCACUGUAUAGUGCAGCGCCCUGUCCUUAGGCGCUGCACUACUUCCAACAUCUCACAUCCAGAGAGCCACAGUUGGCUUGCAUCACAUCCACAAUACUUACAAUGACUGCAGCAUCACAACAAUUUGAACAAACAUAAAUUUUAAGCCGACGAGUUCAUAACUUAAGACAAUUCAAACAUUACUACGACAUGGUUCACGACACAUUCAUUACAAAUGACAAAUGGCAGCUUGCCCUAGAAGAUAGUUCACCAACAUCUCACAUGCCCUCACAACUUCAUGACACAUUCAUUAGAAAAUGGUUGACGACGAGUGCACCGAAGCGAAGUCCCUACUGAGUAGAGCGAGGCCAUUUCCCCUUCUUGUCACGUGCCGAGUCCUCCUCUUGCGCCUCGCGAGCCUUUGCAAGCUUUCUUGCCCUCUCCUCCUCACGAGCAAGUUUCGCUUGGCGUGCCCUCUCCUCCUCUCGUUUCUUCCGCUCCAUCCUCUCCUUCUGACGACGCUCUUCCUCCAAGCCUCUUCGAAACGAUUCUUCAAACCGUCGUUGCCGCCUAAGACAAUCUGCGUAUUGGUCCUUUUUCACAUCUUCUGGCACUUCAAGAUCUAUCCACGUGAAGUACUUGCAUAGAGGAGGCGGUGACUGCAUAAAAAUUUGUUGUUAGUGUUGACACACAUUUGAGAGUAACAUUAUACUUCUCGAGCUUACCGGUGGUUGGUCAUAGGCGUUAGUUGGAAGUGCACGAUCAUAAGCAUAGUUCGAGCAUACAAAAUAUCUCCGCCCUUCCGUCCAUGCUUUCUUUCGGUCGGUGGACACCUUCACCUUGCAAACAUCUCCACACCAACAAGGCGGGAUGUUGACAUCUUUCUCCUUCACCUUGUCCAAAGAUGCGUCCUCCCACUUGUUCGGCAUGUCUUCUUGGUUAGCACACGGUGGCCUCGUCAUGGAACCGGAUGAAGCCAUGCCUACAAAACCGAGAAUUAUUGGUCAACCCUAACCCCCACUUAACAAUAACCACAACCCUAACACCAACAUAACCCUAACCCUAGCAUACUAUGAAAACCUAACCAUACCAAAUUAGCAAAGAAACACAAAUUUCCAAAUCCUAUCAAAAACUAGGGUUUCCCCCAAACUAGCAAGAUUUGAGCAAAUGUGACAAUUCCUAUGGAUGAAAACGAGGGGAUCGGAGAAGAUUACCUUAAGGGAGGGGUUGGCUUCGAAAUCCACGGUCAAAUACUCCGGAUCUUGAAUGCGGCUUGCUUCGCCUUCCAUGCCUUGCCGUACUUCACCUUGUAAUGAAAGAUGGCUUUCACAAGGUCAAUGACACUCUUGAUGCUCAUUGUUGGAAGUGUGGAUAUUUGGUUGGACAGCCUGUAAGCAAUGAACUCGGACGUGAGUUGUCUGUGUUGUUGGUACACAAGCUUGCCAUCCGCAUUCUUGUGCCGGCACAUGUGAGUUGGUAGACAACUCACUAUGCGCCAAGUGGGGCCUCCUUUCCAUGGCCUUGCACGCACAAUCCAUGGACAUGUUGGCACUUCACAUUUGACCGUGUAACGCACAUUCACGUCCGAGUUGGCCACUUUAUGUGGACGAUAAUGUGUAACCGAGUAGUUGUCGAGCCACAUCUUCAAUUCCAAGAAGGAUUGAAACUCACAACCGGGAUAUAUCCCGUUCUUGCCGUCUUCCAAAUCACGGUGAGAACUUGGCCUAGCUCCAAGAGAUAUGCAUUUUCCACCAUCCACAAUGGCUUCAUCCGCGAGACUAAGAUCCUUGAACAAUGGUGUCUAGUGAUCCCGCCUGAAUACCUUCUUGAAUGCUUCGGCCUCCUUCGGUGUGAACCCCUCCUCAUCAACUUCUUCAUCAGGACCAUCGUCAUCCGAGUCCGAUGCAUAUGCACGGGAAAAAGGGAUGGAUUGGUCCAUUGUCUCUUGCACAUGAUAUUGGUCGAGAUCACCCACAUUGUUGUCAUGGAGGUCAACUUCGUUGUCAUCCUCCUCGUACUCAUCAUUCUCCUCUUCAAAACCUUCAUUUUGGUUGUUUGGAGUCGGGCUCAAUGUUGGCCAAUCUUCUUGCCUGAAUUGAGGUUCACUCAUUUGAUCUUGGUUCAUGGGUGGGGGAGUGCUAGCAACCAACGGGGAGGGGUUCCGGUUCAAGUCUAAAUUCAAAGUAGACUCAACCUUCUUGGAGGCAAAUAACUCAAGAGCCUUGUCUAGAGAUUCCGCAACUGUCUCCUUGUAUGCAACCCAACGUUGCUCGGAGUUCACACGCAUUGUCUUCCAACGGAUGUGCAUUCCUAAACCAACAUUAUGCCUUCCCUCGAACUCAACAACGUCACUUGGGUCCAUCCAAUUCAAAUCUUUCCUCACUUGUUUCAAAAGCUCCGCAUAGCUAGGACUACUCUCAAACACCAUGUCAAGCUCAUCCGGGUCCGUCUCAACAUUGCCUUUCAAAAAGGCCUCUUUAUCCACAUGAUGAACAUAAACACAUGUUCUCCCCAUCCCUACAAUAAUCAAAAACAGACAUAUAUCAAGUAAAUACUUAAGAAAAAUAUUUGCACACAUAUGCCCUAACAUAUAUAUGAAUUAAUAACCCUAACCCCCACAUAACAAUAACCACAACCCUAACACCAACAUAACCCUAACACCAAUAUCAAACACACAUAACCCUAACCCUAGCAUACUAUGGAAGCCUAAACAACCCAAAUUAGCAAAGAAAUAUAACAUCAUUCAACACAAAUUUCCAAAUCCUAUCAAAAUCUAGGGUUUCCCCAAACUAGCAAGAUUUGAGCAAAUGUGACAAUUCCUAUGGAUGAAAACGAGGGGAUCGGAGGAGAUUACCUUAAGGGAGGGGUUGGCUUCAAAAUCCACGGUGUGUGGCGGAUUUGCAAGAUUUGAGAAGGAUUUGAGAGGGGGGAGAGGGGAAGAGAGGAGGGCCGCAAGUCUAAGGGUUUGGGUCGGGUGGGGGUGUGUGGGGUGGGGGUGGGAGGGGAGAGAGGGUGGGGCCAGCCCAAGUUGAACACAGACUGUGCAGCGCCCAAGAGCUAGGCGCUGCACAUUACAGGUGUGUGGCGCCUAGAUCUUAGGCAUUGCACAGGUGCGUGUGGGGCCGCAACUGGACCAGGGCUGCCACGCUGGCAGGAUGUGCGACGCCUAAGGGAAGGGCGCUGCACAGUAGGGUGCGGCGCCCGGCUGUCGGGUGCCACACCAAAGGGUCAGCAGAGUGAAAUUUUUUCGUGACCAGGUCAGUUUGUGAUUUGAUUUCUGCCUGAGGUCAGAUAUGUGAUUUCUGCCAGAAAUAGCAUCCUUUGCCCUCGAUGAUUUGGGUUAUCAUCGGCAACAUUCUUUCUUUCCCUUCAACACAAACUUGUUCCUGUUUUGUGUUGUACCUUGAGAUCCUUGCUAUCCAACUUAUGUUAUGUUCUACCUUGGAGUAUUGCUAUCUUUUAGGUCAAGAAUGUCAUGGGAAAUUCACCACCCUUAAGAAUUCUUGAUACAAGUGAUACUUAUUAACAUCACCAUUCUUUUCUUGGUCCCCGUGUUGUUUCUAACCGAAAUACCAACAAAUGGUCUGUGAUGUGUAAAUUCUAAACUUCUAGCAACCCUAUUGCUUUGAAGUUAUUGGUCUGUAGUUUCAUUCUAUGUCUAUGGCUUAUUGAAUCAUCGUUCGAACAUUGAUCGUGCUACCCAGCCCAUAUUUCGGGUACACAUUUCAACCAAUGUUUAACUGUGUAUGUUUUCCUCGAGCAUACAUCAUUAAGUCAUUUGAUCUAGCUAAUGUUACCUCCCUGUUCACAUAAUUGUGGAGAUCCAUCUUUUGGAAAUCUCAAUGAAUUGUCGCUGAUUUCAUUAGCCACCCCUUCAUCCUCUCCUUGAUUAAAUGGUGAACUCAUGAUUCGGGACUUGCCUUCAUAGUUCAUUUCACGAGAAUCUUGCAACGCCAUCCCGUCCAUGUGUUGCACCUCUUUUUCUCAUCCCGGGUCUGAGGUAUCCUGACACCAAUCAGAUCUGAAUCUCGGUCAGAUAUGAUGGUUGGAACAUAUUUCCAAGAGUUAUAACGUUGGUCUUUGUAUGACCCGAUAAGGUGGUGUCAUACCUAGCCCACCUGGCCGGAGGCCCUAUUGUUAUAGUUCUUCCUUUUAGCAAUAUUGGCCAUUCUUCCAUGAGGAAAUUGUAAGACUUAUUCUAUAAGUUGUUCCUGAUGGAUCCUAGUUGUUUCCAAAGUCUGAUCUUCACCUGUUGACCAUGUCAAUGCUAUCUCGAGGCAUGUCUAUGGUACUCUGAUUUUCAACAGGAACAUUUGAAGCCCAAUGCUAAAUGUUUCCUGCUCAAUUAUCCAAACACCGUUGUAUGGGUAAUGGCAUGAAAAUUCUCUCCCGUGCCUAAAGAGUGUUCUACUUUCUAUCCUGUCAUGGAUAUCAUGCUCUGCUUGUCCUUGGGAGGAUAUACCCUUGAAAUAUGUGUUCCAUUGUCCUAUUUAGAUCUGAUAAUCGUAUUUUCCUUUCCAUUGUUUGGUUUAACCCUUUCUUGUGAUCUUUAUGAUCCAAGCAGAAAUAUUCUCCUGCUUAUGUAAACACCUCGGUGUACAUUUCUGUCAGCAAGACCCUGUUACUAUUGUUGAUGACAUUCUGGUAACCACCGAUGGAUGAGAACUUUGCCUAUUGGUCCGCCUCGUUCAACGAGCAGGAAAAAUGGUUCUCUUCGUCCCUCGCUCUUGGUACCGAUGUUGUUGUCGACAUAACCGACAGACUAACCUCUGACAUGCCUUGCCUACAUGACCAUGCAAGAUGUCAACGCCCUUCCUAGUUUUAACCCACAUGGUGGGCCCAUAACCCACAGUUCCACAGGAUCGAAACCUGACUCUCCUAUACACCCUGUUGUCGAAGUUAAUCCUCGCGCUUGGCUUCGUAUUUAAUUCACGGGCCACCUUCCUAGUGCUCUAUUCUGGUAUCAGACGCAAUACUUACUCUCGCUGCUCUGAAACCCUUUCUCACUCUGGUUCAGACUUCGAGCAACUAUCUAUCCACUUGGAACCUCUUAUAGUACCUUCGUACCUUACUCUUGAUGUAUUCGAUAUGUUCAGCUCGAGAGAUAAUCUUACGCUCAUUCAUGGGUUAACCCCCAGAUUGUUUCCCUCAUAAGCAUUCUGUCGUAGCCGAGCUGCCCCUUACCUAUUCGUAAGUACGUUGGAGUUCCCGAGAAAAGGACGACAUCACCAUGAUGACCUGAAGCAGAGAAAUGAAGAUGUCAAUGUAAUGGAUCGACCUCUUCAAGAAGAGCAACCAAGACUGAGAAGAUUCGUUAGCAUUUCGUAACCAGACCUUUCCCCCUUAGUCCCCCUCUUAAAUCUCGGGACGAGAUUUCUUGUAGUGGAGGAGAAUUGUGACGCCAGGAUAAUUAAGCUACAGUAACCCUCUGCUAAUAAUGCCACGUCACCUCGGUUACUGUUGCUAACCUUGCGUUAGUUCAAAAACGAUUCGAAUUCAAAUUCAAAUUCAAGCAAGCAACAAAAGUUUUGAAACGCUAAAACAAAAAUGUCCUAAAGGUGUCGGAAAAAUCAUAGGUAAUUGUGGUGGUGAAACCAAACUCUGAAGAAGUGUUUAAAGGCUCUAAAAUAAUUAUGACAGUAUCAAAAACAAUUAAUUACAUGCCUUUUUCAAUUAACAAAAUAGUAACCUAUUUUAUUGGGGUCCAUAGUUAAUGUGGCAGUAGUAUAUUUAGAUACACUAAAUUAGAAACUACUUUUACCUUUUUAGAUUCGAAAAUAGAUUAAAGGCUAAAAGAAAACAUGAUAGGAGAAAUAAAUAAGCAGAAAAGAAAAUAAAGAAAAAAGGAAAGGAUAAAAAAAA